UAAAAAAGUUAUGUUUUAUAAAAUUUAUUAUAAAUUUAUUUUACAUAUAAAUUUUAGUAUAUAAUUUUAAUUAUUUUAAUAAUAAUUAAAAUUAAUUUAUAGUAAUUAAAAUUAAAAAUUUAAGAAAUUAAGAUUUAGUAAUAUAAAAAUUAAUAACUAAUUUUGUGCCAGCAGUUGCGGUUAUACAAAAAUUAAAUUAAAUUAUUUCAGUAUAUAAUAAAUAAAAUAAAAUAAAAUAAAUAUUAAAUUAUUGGGUGAAAUUUUAAUUUAAUUAAAUUUUAAAUUAAUUUUAUGAUUUAAUAAAUUUUAUAAUAAACUAGGAUUAGAUACCCUAUUAUUAAAAAUUUAAUUUAUAAUACUAAAAUAGUAGAUAAAAAAUAUUGAAACUUAAAUAAUAUGGCGGUAUUUUAGUUCAUUUAGAGGAAUCUGUCUAAUAAUUGAUAAUCCACGAAUAAAUUUACUUAAUUUAAAAUUUUAUAUAUCGUUGUUAAAAAAAUAUUUUAUAAUAAAAAUAAUAUUUAAAAAUUAAAAUAAAAAAUUAAUUCAGAUCAAGAUGUAGAAUAUAAUUAAGAAUAUGAUGGAUUACAAUAAAAUAAUUUAAUAUGAAUAAUUUAAUUUUAAAAUUAAUUUGAAAGUGGAUUUAAAUGUAAUUUUAAUUAAUUUAUUAAAAUGAUUAAAAAUUGAAAUAUGUACAUAUUGCCCGUCACUUUCAUUUGAAAAUUGGAAUAAGUCGUAACAAAGUAGAGGUACUGGAAAGUGUUUCUAGAAUGAA
This 772-nucleotide non-coding RNA is filed under the name Minois dryas. The record is from RNAcentral. Lineage: Eukaryota; Metazoa; Arthropoda; Insecta; Lepidoptera; Nymphalidae.